This 468-nucleotide ribosomal RNA is filed under the name uncultured bacterium. RNAcentral describes it as "bacterial SSU rRNA". It matches the Rfam family "Bacterial small subunit ribosomal RNA", at positions 28 to 507 of the family's 1533-position model. The record is from RNAcentral.
GAUGAACGCUGGCGGCGUGCCUAACGCAUGCAAGUCGAACGAGGCCCUUUGUAUUCGUACGAAGGUGUCCUAGUGGCGAACGGGUGAGUAACACGUAGGUGACCUGCCCUGAAGAGGGGAAUAACCCCUGGAAACGGGGGCUAAUACCCCAUGAACUCCUUGGAGUUAGAGGUCCUUGGAGAAAAGGAGCAAUCCGCUUCAGGAGGGGCCUGCGGCCCAUCAGCUAGUUGGUAGGUAACGGCCUACCAAGGCGAUGACGGGUAGGGGGCCUGAGAGGGUGGUCCCCCACAAUGGCACUGAAACACGGGCCAUACGUCUACGGACGGCAGCAGUGGGGAAUAUUGCACAAUGGACGAAAGUCUGAUGCAGCAACGCCGCGUGCGCGAUGAAGGCCUUCGGGUUGUAAAGCGCUUUUCUGGGGGAAGAGGAAGGACGGUACCCCAGGAAUAAGUCUCGGCUAACUACGUG